This 253-nucleotide ribosomal RNA is filed under the name uncultured bacterium. RNAcentral describes it as "partial 16S ribosomal RNA". It matches the Rfam family "Bacterial small subunit ribosomal RNA", at positions 524 to 776 of the family's 1533-position model. The record is from RNAcentral.
UACAGAGGGGGCAAGCGUUGUUCGGAAUUACUGGGCGUAAAGGGCGCGUAGGCGGCCUGCUAAGUCGAACGUGAAAUCCCUGGGCUCAACCCAGGAACUGCGUCCGAUACUGGUUGGCUUGAAUCCGGGAGAGGGAUGUGGAAUUCCAGGUGUAGCGGUGAAAUGCGUAGAGAUCGGGAGGAACACCAGAGGCGAAGGCGGCUCACUGGACAGGCACUGACACUAAACUACGAAAGCGUGGGGAGCAAACAGG